Molecule: long non-coding RNA, 3414 nt
Filed under: Homo sapiens (human)
Lineage: Eukaryota; Metazoa; Chordata; Mammalia; Primates; Hominidae
Description: HSALNT0112769
Source: RNAcentral
GGAAAAUGCCAUAUGAAGACGCAAAGACACAUAGACACAGAGGGAAGACAGCCGUGUGAUGAUGCAUACACAUUGGAGUUAUGCUGCCACAAGCCAAGGAAUGCCUGGGGGUAUAAGAGCCAAAGGCAACUUUUUGGAGAGCAAAUAGUAUGCCACCUGCCUGUUCAAAUGUGCAAUGGUUUUCCGAAGUUCUCAAAGUAAAGCCUGAAAUCCCCAACUUGGCCUAGAAGUCCGGAAUACUUCUGAAACAAACUCUUCCUUCCUGUCCUCUGCCUGUAGCAGAAAAUAGACAAGCCAAGCAGAUGUCCAGAGAUGGCGGAGGAGUACCUCGGCUGCAGCUUCCUUGAGAGAAAACAAACUCAAGGGAGCCUUGGGGGCUGGGGGUGAGAGUGCCGGGGCGGAGCUGGGGGGAGAAGGAAGGUGGCACAGUAUUGUAAUCAGGUUCCCUACUCACUCAAGCUGAGUGCCCGUUGCCUUCUUUCUUUCCCUCCCUCUCCCUUUGUCUCUUUUGAACUUACUGUGAAACAAGUGAACUAUAUAUGGCCAGGGAAAUCUCCAGCAGUCCCAGUAUUUUUAAACUCUUGUAGUCUCCUGUUUGCACACUCAUGUGACGUAGAGGAACUAGAUCCAGAGAGUUUCUCAUGGGAAUCCGGGAUGCUUCGGCAUAACUGCUGGCUUUGGUUGCAUGUGUUUUUGCCCCUUGUUAAAGCAGUCCUUGGGGUUUCAUUUCACAUCCAAAAGACCUGGGAAGCAGCAGAUUCUGUGAGUGCACUAAGAAUGUACCGGGGAGGCUGUGUUCAGGGUGCCUGUCCAGGAUCGUCAUCGAGGGCCUAAGAAACUUUCAGCCUGUGUAGCUGGCCUGGCUCAGACUGGAGGGUGAACUGCUGGGCAUCUUAAUGCAAACUGGAGGGCAUUAGCAAGGAAGAAUUAUUCUCAGAACAUUCCGCGAGCCCUUCACUGAUGAAUUCCUCAUCGUUGUUGGGUUUUGUUUUGUUCUGUUUUGCUGUUCUUGUGCAUUAUCCAAUUUUACUCAAGCUAUUUUAUUAAUAUGUGCCCCAAUCCCCGCCUUCAGCGUGUGUUUCCAGUGACUGUUUAUUUCUCUUUCAGUUCCUCUUGCAGACGUCCUUUUCACCACUGAAAACAUGUUUCAAAAUGUCCUUGAAUCGAAAAUAUUUUAUUUUAUAAGAAAUAUAUUUUCAAGCAGUUUAUUCACGAGAGUGAUAUAUUUGAGGAUUAAACGAAAAUAGGGGAACAACUCACAUAGUUACUGAGUGGAAAAAAUUACCUUUAAAACAGGAUGGAAAAUGAAAUAGUGACUGUGGGUGUAGUUUCUUGUAGGAACACUAAGUGUAGUUAGCUGUCUAGGUCAUGCACCACAUAACUCUCGGUGCCACCACUCAUAAUAUAGAUUUAAUUUAAUAUGAUGAUUUCCUGUCAUAUAUUAGUGAAAUGUCUUGAAGGAAGGGUCCCUUUUGUACAAAGGGGCCAUAUGGAUUAUUAGUAAUCACUCUUUUUGAGGAUAGGAAUGAAUCUUACCCGCUUUUUUUUUCCUGUUGCAAUUUACCUGUUAUAAUCACUACUAUUUACAGAGAGCUAACUUUCUAUCAGACACUAGUAUUAACAAUGUUAUGCUGGUAAUAGAGUUGGGAAAAAAAAAAGAGGCCCUGACUUGCAGUGCUUGCCAAUUUCCAUAGUGUAAAUAUUCCCACCAUAGCCAUGUUCAGGCUACCAAAGUUCUUGAAAGCUAAGUGUAGUGUUGAGUAGGGAUGAUCACAAUUGGCUUUCCUGAGCCAGUAUGAGUUGGCUGCAACAAAACUACUGGUUCUAUAAUAAGUAUUAACAGGCAUUAAUUGCUUUAAAUAUUAACAAGUUUUAUUUGCUCUAUAAAAUGAUAUUAUUAUUAUUCACCAUCAUACAGAUAUGGAAACUGAGGCAAUGAAAAGUUAUGUUACUUUGCAUAAGGUGACAGAACCAGUAAGCAGUGGAGCCAAGCUUUCAGCCCAGGCUGCCUAACUCCAGAGCCCAUGCACAUAAUCCCUAGACCAUGCUGGAAGCAAUAGUGCAGGUGUCAGCAAAUGAUUUCUACAUGAGGGCAUCUUGAUGUCAAGAAGUGUAGUAACUGCUUUAAGUAUUGUAUCAGUUAGGGUUCCACCAGAGAAACAGAACUAGUAAUCAAUAUACAUAGCUAAUAUGAAUAUAUAAUAAAUUCAUAUUAUAUAUUUUUAAUAACAUAUAUAUUUAGAAAUAAUGUAAAUAUAUAUGGAUAUAUGUUGAUUUAUUGCAAGGAACUGGCUUACGUGAUUGUGGCAGCUGGCUACAAAAGUCUGAAAUCUGUACAGCAGGCCCUCAGGAAGGGCCGACAGAAACUCUCGAGCAGGGGCUGACACUGCCGUCCACAAGUAGAAUCUCUUCCUCAAGGAAGCCUAAGUUCUGUUCUUAAAGCUUUUCAAUUACUUGAAUCAGGCCAACACAGAUUAUCCAGGACAAUCUUUCUUACACAAACCAAACUAUUAUAGACUUUAACAACACCUACCUUCACAGCAACAUCUAUAUUAGUGUUUGAUUGAAUAACUGGAGCCUAUAGCCUGAAUAAGUUGACUCAUAAAGUGUUGAGUUGAAUUGCAUUGCCCAAAAAUUUAUGUUGAAAUCUUAAUCUCUGGUAUCUGUGAAUGUGACUUUAAUUGGAAAUAGGGUCUUUGCAGAUGAAAUGAAGGUAAGGUGAGGUCAUACUAGAGUAGGGUGAGACCUGAAUUGAGUGUGACUGGUAUCCUUAUGAGAAGAAAAGGGAAAUGUAGACACAGACAUACAGGUAGAAUGCUGUGGAAAUGGAGGCAGAGAUUGGAGUGAUGCAUCUCCAAGCCAAGAAACGACAAGAAUUGGUGGAAGCCACCAGAAGGCAUGUAGAGGCAAGGAAGCCUCCUUCCCUAGAGCCUUCAGAGGGAGCAAGGGCCUGCCAACACCUUGAUUUGGGGCUUCUUGCAUCCAGAACUGUGAAACAAUAAAUUUCUGUUGGUUUAAGCUACCCAGUUUGUGAUCCUUUGUCAUGGCAGUCCUAGGAAUUAAUACUACAGGGAUCUUAAAAAUAACACUGUGAUAAUAAAUAAUGUCUACUUCACCAACAUCUAGGACAUGACUUUUACUAAAAACAAAGACUAUGCUUACCACAAUUUUCUUGUGACACUCUCAGUAGUGGCAUGUUGGUGGGCCCUUUCAAGUCAGAGGUGUAUCUAUAAACUAAUUGCUUUUAUUUGAUUCAACACAUGCAGGAACGUAUACACAUCCUUACUGAAAUAGUCACUGGAAGAAAUAAUUGACUUAAAGCAGUGGGGUUGCUAUUAUAAAAUCAACUUUAGUAGCGCAUUGAAAUAAAUAUGUACGAAUAAAUGAGCGAGGAAUAAAUGUGUUCAUUGCUUC